This 84-nucleotide transfer RNA is filed under the name Opitutaceae bacterium TAV3. RNAcentral's name for it is "tRNA-Leu". It matches the Rfam family "tRNA". Rfam says of the family: Transfer RNA (tRNA) molecules are approximately 80 nucleotides in length. Their secondary structure includes four short double-helical elements and three loops (D, anti-codon, and T loops). RNAcentral also lists the same sequence under 1 other name. The record is from RNAcentral. Lineage: Bacteria; Pseudomonadati; Verrucomicrobiota; Opitutia; Opitutales; Opitutaceae.
GCCCGGGUGGUGGAAUGGCAGACACGAGGGUCUUAGAAGCCCUUGCCGCAAGGCGUGCAGGUUCGAUCCCUGUCCCGGGCACCA